This 131-nucleotide non-coding RNA is filed under the name Streptomyces sp. Lineage: Bacteria; Bacillati; Actinomycetota; Actinomycetes; Kitasatosporales; Streptomycetaceae. The record is from RNAcentral.
AGAGGAAGCCGGUGCGAAUCCGGCGCGGUCCCGCCACUGUCACCGGGGAGCGGCAUCUCCGCCGAGCGCCACGGCCCCGCAUCGGGGCUGGAAGGCCAGGGGAUGCCGCCGAUCCGGAAGCCAGGAGACUC